This is a small nucleolar RNA of Peromyscus maniculatus bairdii (prairie deer mouse), 78 nucleotides long. Its record names the gene SNORD115. It matches the Rfam family "Small nucleolar RNA SNORD115". Rfam says of the family: HBII-52 is a member of the C/D class of snoRNAs, which contain the C (UGAUGA) and D (CUGA) box motifs. HBII-52 is encoded in a tandemly repeated array with another C/D snoRNA, HBII-85, in the Prader-Willi syndrome (PWS) region of chromosome 15. HBII-52 is exclusively expressed in the brain but is absent in PWS patients. Lineage: Eukaryota; Metazoa; Chordata; Mammalia; Rodentia; Cricetidae. The record is from Ensembl.
GGGUCUAUGAUGACAAACCUAUGUCAUGAAGAGAGAUGGUGACAUACAAACCAUCCUCAAUAGAAUGUGCUGAGGCCC